Molecule: non-coding RNA, 109 nt
Filed under: Strigamia maritima
Lineage: Eukaryota; Metazoa; Arthropoda; Chilopoda; Geophilomorpha; Linotaeniidae
Description: Eukaryotic large subunit ribosomal RNA
Rfam family: Eukaryotic large subunit ribosomal RNA
Source: Rfam by way of RNAcentral
UCUUCGAUAUCGACUCUUUCUAUCAUUGCAAAGCAGAAUUCGUCAAGCGUUGGAUUGUUUACUAGCAAUAAAGAACAUUAGCUAAAUUUAGACUAUUUUGAGUCGAGUU